This 396-nucleotide ribosomal RNA is filed under the name uncultured bacterium. RNAcentral's name for it is "bacterial SSU rRNA". It matches the Rfam family "Bacterial small subunit ribosomal RNA", at positions 505 to 898 of the family's 1533-position model. The record is from RNAcentral.
GUGUCAGCCGCCGCGGUAAUACGAGGGGUGCAAGCGUUAUUCGGAUUUACUGGGCGUAAAGGGUGUGUAGACGGUUUGCUAAGUCUGUUGUUAAAUACUCUGGCUUAACUGGAGAUCAGCAGUGGAAACUAGUAGACUAGAGGUUGGGAGAGAGAAGUGGAAUUCCCGGAGUAGCGGUAAAAUGCGUAGAUCUCGGGAGGAACACCGAUGGCGAAGGCAGCUUCUUGGCCCAUACCUGACGUUGAGACACGAAAGCGUGGGGAGCAAACAGGAUUAGAUACCCUGGUAGUCCACGCUGUAAACGCUAAUCACUAGAUGUUAGUUCAGCCAAGCUGGAUUAGUAUCGUAGCUAACGCGUUAAGUGAUUCGCCUGGGGACUACGAUCGCAAGAUUAAA